CUGGCGUCGCUUAUGCAUGCAGUCGAGGGAGAACCAGUCGUUCCGUAAGGUUCGGCUGGGGAAACCGGCGAACGGGUGCGUAACACGUGAGGAACCUGCCCCGAAGACCGGGAUAGCCCGAGGAAACUCGGAUUAAUACCGGAUACCCUCUCCAGACCGCAUGGUCUGCUGAGGAAAUGGUCCGCUGCUUCGGGAUGGACUCGCGGCCUAUCAGCUAGUUGGUGAGGUAAUGGCUCACCAAGGCAAAGACGGGUAGCUGGUCUGAGAGGACGAUCAGCCACACUGGGACUGAGACACGGCCCAGACUCCUACGGGAGGCAGCAGCAGGGAAUAUUGCACAAUGGGCGAAAGCCUGAUGCAGCGACACCGCGUGCGGGAUGAAGGCCUUCGGGUUGUAAACCGCUUUCAGGAGGGACGAAAAUGACGGUACCUCCAGAAGAAGGCCCGGCCAACUACGUGCCAGCAGCCGCGGUAAUACGUAGGGGCCAAACGUUGUCCGGAUUUAUUGGGCGUAAAGGGCUCGUAGGCGGUUCAACAAGUCGGUCGUGAAAGCCCGGGGCUCAACCCCGGGAUGCCGGUCGAAACUGUUGUGACUAGGGUCCGGUAGAGGUGAGUGGAAUUCUCGGUGUAGCGGUGGAAUGCGCAGAUAUCGAGAGGAACACCAGUAGCGAAAGCGGCUCACUGGGCCGGUACCGACGCUGAGGAGCGAAAGCAUGGGGAGCAAACAGGAUUAGAUACCCUGGUAGUCCAUGCCGUAACGAUGACCACUAGGUGGUGGCGGACUCAUUGACGUCUGCCGUGCCGAAGCUAACGCAUUAAG
Molecule: ribosomal RNA, 820 nt
Filed under: uncultured bacterium
Lineage: Bacteria
Description: bacterial SSU rRNA
Rfam family: Bacterial small subunit ribosomal RNA
Source: RNAcentral